AAAAUCACCUCGAUCUGAGGCUGAGGGACCAGUGCAAGGUCACAGGGAUUGUGCUUAGAGAUCAGCCCUGCACUUCAGUCAGACAUGUGAAUACCUGUGAGAAAAAUUAAAACUUCAGUGGUUGAAAACUGGUCCCAGAAUUUACUUUUUUUUCAGGUUAACAAUUUUCUAUCUCACUUACACUACUCAGCAGCCUUCUCCUUGUACUUUCAGCCACAGGGUUUGGCUCCUGUAACAUACCAAGGCCUUUACCUUCAUAGCAGUGACACCUCAAUCAACUGUGCUUUGUCUGACUCCAGUUGGUUUCCUCGCAGCCCAAGCUCAGCGUGAAGACUCCUCCUCCUUCCAGCCAGGGGGAAGAUGUGCAGAUUCCCACAAAGCUGGUGCUGUGUGAGUUCCUGUAACCAAAUGGAACAGAUGAGAGUUAGAAACACAUUGACCAGAAUUCCAAGGAGACCACGUUUGAACCAGGGGAUACAGAUUUCGACUUGUUACAGUCACCACUAGAGGCACAGGAGUUACCCGGCUUGUAUCAGCAGGGCCUGCUGAGAAGGGGACCCUGCUGUGCCAAAGACUGUGCAGAGAGACAGAGGAUUUCUGUUCCCAAGAGCUUAUAAUUAGCAACAUUCACACAUACAUUGAGCAGAACACCAGUCCUCUCAGCCACAGACAUCAGAGAACUCCAAAAAAUGGUGUGGAGUGUGUCUAUCAGAGUCCAAAGUCUUUGGCUUACCUGGAGUAAACAAGUGCCCACAACAGGGUGGUUAUUGCCCAAAGCAAUACUUCCCAAACCAGUGCAGAUUGUAGGAGCAUCCAGUUGUUGCUGCGUGCUCAGUGCUGGGAUCUCUGCUCCAGAAAUAUCUGGGAAAAGGUGAGAAGAUUGUACUUUAUCUCAUAAGAGUGAAACCAUCACUAAGAACAAAUAGUCUUAAACUGCAAAUCCAACUAUUCUCCACAGCACAAUGAGCUGUUAAAGGUCAGGCUGGCUCUUUACAGCUUGGGCCCAAUUAUGCAUUACAAACAAGCAAGAGGAUAACAUGCUUUUAUCCUGAGUAAGGUACCGGUUAGAUCAAGAUCAUAGCAGAGAGCUGUGACAGCUUUGAAGGGCUGCCUGUAAGUCAUCUGCUGCUGGAGGUGACUCAGAGAGUGUGUCCCCAGAGAAGGCUCAAGUUGCAGUUUAAAGCAGUGAUUUUCAACACUAAACAGGAGAUACGUGACAGAUCAGAGUCCAAACCAAGCUCUGCCUUUAUAUUGGGCUCUGCUGGCAGCUGAUGUGGGGAAGGGGAGAUUCAGGGUGGUGGGGAGAAGAAGGUGAAGAGAUGAAAUGCUCUGUGUGAUCAGUUGGGAGUGAAAAAUGAUAAAAACCUCUUUUUUUCUUUUUCCCCAAGGUCUGUUCUUGUCUUGCUCUGUGGCCUCAGGCAGGUUAGUUGUACAUCUCUCCAUACAA
RNAcentral lists this long non-coding RNA (1447 nucleotides) under Manacus vitellinus (golden-collared manakin). RNAcentral describes it as "lncRNA (ENSMVIG00005005734.1)". Lineage: Eukaryota; Metazoa; Chordata; Aves; Passeriformes; Pipridae. The record is from RNAcentral.